Molecule: long non-coding RNA, 1587 nt
Organism: Balaenoptera musculus (blue whale)
Lineage: Eukaryota; Metazoa; Chordata; Mammalia; Artiodactyla; Balaenopteridae
Exons: 3
Source: RefSeq, a predicted model, not a curated record
UGCCUACAUUGUGGUGAUUCUUAAAAUGAAAUAAAAACAUAAAAAAUUAUUAACCCAAUGCAUAUUUUUUGCGUCCUCAAUAUCGCUGCCAAGCCAUCUGGUCGACCUUGCCGCAGGAGCCACCAGGUGAAGCUCCACUGGUGCGAAGCUCAGCGGGACGAAUCCGGGGCGUGCAAGGGCGCAGGCGUUCAGCCGCCGCCCUAACUCCUGAGGUCGACCCAGACCGCCAUCCAUCGCGUUGCUCGGUCCGGGGUGUCCGCUCGCGGGUCCAGAGACCGUUCCCAGGACCAGAGAGAGAGCUUAUUCUUGGGGGAGCCUCAGACUACCGCUCACAGCCAAGAUUGGGCCCGGGCUCGGGGCUCCUCCCGACCACCAACGGACGGUCCAGGCUGCACCCCAUUUCCCAAACGUUUGCUAGGGGCUCCGACAACUGAGACCAAAGUGGGAUGGCCGCCGUGCCCUGAGCGUCCUCCCCACUCGCCCGCGACACUCCGUGUCAUUCCACGCGGUGAGAGAACCUGGGUGUGCUGUCGACACAGAAGCGCUGCGACGAGGUGAACAGGAGACAGGACGCCGGGCGCUGCCAGUGUAGACUCAUCCUGACCUGCAGGGGAAUCACAUCUACGGAGCCCCGUGACCGCUUCGCGUGGAACCUGGAGAAAUGAAAAUGGCUGCCGGGGAGCAGGCCCAAUGCCGCCACGCCACCUGGACGGACCCGGGCCCCCAAGGCGGCGAGGACGCACCGCCGGACUGCCUGUAGGUCGGGGCGUCAUUGUCCCGUGGGAAGGAGGAAGGGGAGGCCCGCGGUCGCCCUCCCAGUGACUCCUCGUUUCGCCAUCCGGCCAGGGCCCCAUUCCGGCGAGAGACGUAAAAAAUUGGUGAAUAAAUUCGGGAUACAGCGUGGAGACCUUGGAAGGCCAGGCGCCGUCCGAGUACAUCCGUGUCGUUGCCCACCUCCUAAUGACUAGGAAAAUUGAGAAAGUACGACCACCAGGACGUGAAGGACGACGUCGGGCAUGCACACUGUGUCCUAUCACCACGCUCAGUCUUGCGGGCAGAGGGGCACCAGGGCAUGCUGGUAGACCCAGCAGGACCACACCAAACACAGCCCGAAGCGCAAGGCCGUCCUCACACCACAUGAAUCUGCUCGGCCAAUCUCCGGCUACAGCAGGAAGCGCCCACGCCUUGGCACCACCGGGACAGUCGCCGCCAGCAUCACGGCCUCCAGGAACUCUGCCUCGCGCCUGGCGGCCGAGUCACAGCCCUCGCCAAAGUCGCCGAAGCUCCGGAGGGAAGGGACGAUCUCAAAGCGGCCGCUAUGUAGCGACCGGCAACCGCUGGAACGUACCCGGUACGGAUCCCGAUCUCCGGCCGGCAAGGGUGCAGCGCGGGCCGCCCAAACGCCCGAGCUAGUCACGGGGCAUCCGCCUCGGAGCUAGCUCCCGGCUCAACAUGGAAGGUGACCUUAAAAAGCAUUAAAUGAUACCCACACAGCAUGCGUUCAGGAAGGACCCAUUUAUCUGCAGGUCAACGGACACUCAAAUGAAGAGAAACCCUAGACCUGUACUCAUGGUGGAAGAGCCUUCA